GAUAUACUGUAGUGAUAUACUGUAGUGAUAUACUAGGAGGAGGAUAUAAUGUAGUGAUAUACUGUCGUGUUGAGGAUAUACUGUAGUGAUAUACUGUAAGGAUGAGGAUAUACUGUAGUGAUAUACUGUCGUGUUGAGGAUAUACUGUAGUGAUAUACUGUGAGGAGGAUAUAAUGUAGUGAUAUACUGUAGUGAUAUACUGUAGUGGAGAGGAGGAGGAUAUAAUGUAGUGAUAUACUGUCGUGUUGAGGAUAUACUGUAGUGAUAUUGUCGUGUUGAGGAUAUACUGUAGUGAUAUACUGUGAGGAGGAUAUAAUGUAGUGAUAUACUGUCGUGUUGAGGAUAUACUGUAGUGAUAUACUGUAGUGGAGAGGAGGAGGAUAUAAUGUAGUGAUAUACUGUCGUGUUGAGGAUAUACUGUAGUGAUAUUCUGUAGUGGAGAGGAGGAGGAUAUAAUGUAGUGAUAUACUGUCGUGUUGAGGAUAUACUGUAGUGAUAUUCUGUAGUGGAGAGGAGGAGGAUAUAAUGUAGUGAUAUACUGUCAGGAGGAUAUACUGUAGUGAUAUACUGUAGUGAUA
Molecule: long non-coding RNA, 578 nt
Organism: Oncorhynchus tshawytscha (Chinook salmon)
Lineage: Eukaryota; Metazoa; Chordata; Actinopteri; Salmoniformes; Salmonidae
Source: Ensembl